UGAUCUCGGAUCAGGUAGGGAUACCCGCUGAACUUAAGCAUAUCAAUAAGCGGAGGA
This 57-nucleotide ribosomal RNA is filed under the name Morchella conica. RNAcentral's name for it is "partial 28S ribosomal RNA". It matches the Rfam family "Eukaryotic large subunit ribosomal RNA", at positions 1 to 57 of the family's 3401-position model. Lineage: Eukaryota; Fungi; Ascomycota; Pezizomycetes; Pezizales; Morchellaceae. The record is from RNAcentral.